Molecule: ribosomal RNA, 460 nt
Filed under: uncultured bacterium
Lineage: Bacteria
Description: partial 16S ribosomal RNA
Rfam family: Bacterial small subunit ribosomal RNA
Source: RNAcentral
CCUACGGGAGGCAGCAGUGAGGAAUAUUGGUCAAUGGGCGGAAGCCUGAACCAGCCAAGUAGCGUGAAGGAUGACGGCCCUACGGGUUGUAAACUGCUUUUAAACGGGAAUAACGCUCAUUACGUGUAGGGCUUUGCAUGUACCAUAUGAAUAAGGACCGGCUAAUUCCGUGCCAGCAGCCGCGGUAAUACGGAAGGUCCGGGCGUUAUCCGGAUUUAUUGGGUUUAAAGGGAGCGUAGGCGGAAUUUCAAGCGUGUUGUGAAAUGUCCGGGCUCAACCGGAGCAUUGCAGUGGGAACUGGGGUGCUUGAGUCCGGCGAAGGUAGGCGGAAUUCGUGGUGUAGCGGUGAAAUGCUUAGAUAUGACGAAGAACCCCGAUUGCGAAGGCAGCUUGCUGGAGCGGAACUGACGCUGAUGCUCGAAAGCGUGGGUAUCGAACAGGAUUAGAUACCCUUGUAGUC